GUAGGGGGCAAGCGUUGUUCGGAAUUACUGGGCGUAAAGGGCGCGUAGGCGGCACGGCAAGUCGGGAGUGAAAGCCCGGGGCUCAACCCCGGAACGUCUUUCGAAACUGCCGAGCUAGAGUGCGGAAGGGGCAACUGGAAUUCCCAGUGUAGCGGUGAAAUGCGUAGAUAUUGGGAAGAACACCUGAGGCGAAGGCGGGUUGCUGGGCCGACACUGACGCUGAGGCGCGAAAGCCAGGGGAGCGAACGGGAUUAGAUACCCCGGUAGUCCUGGCCCUAAACGAUGGAUACUUGGUGUGUGGGGUUUCUCAAGUCCCCGCGUGCCGGAGCUAACGCGUUAAGUAUCCCGCCUGGGGAGUACGGUCGCAAGGCUG
Molecule: ribosomal RNA, 373 nt
Filed under: uncultured bacterium
Lineage: Bacteria
Description: bacterial SSU rRNA
Rfam family: Bacterial small subunit ribosomal RNA
Source: RNAcentral